Molecule: long non-coding RNA, 239 nt
Filed under: Capsella rubella
Lineage: Eukaryota; Viridiplantae; Streptophyta; Magnoliopsida; Brassicales; Brassicaceae
Description: long non-coding RNA (CRUB_LNC000147)
Source: RNAcentral
CCAUUUAAUGCUUCAAAGUAAUAGUUGUGGGUUGUUAGCCCAUUUCGGCCAAAAUUUCAGCAAGUCUUUCUACACUCUUCUAAACACACUUCAUGCAUCUCUAGUACUUGUAAUCAAUGAUAGUUAAUGUAUUUUCAACCUAUUAUAACCCCAAAGAACACUAAACAAGCCAUUUAGUGGUUCAACGCAAUGUUUCCGAGUUCUUAGCCCAUUUGGGACCAAAUUUCAACAAGUCUUUC